Molecule: long non-coding RNA, 1091 nt
Organism: Pelmatolapia mariae (spotted tilapia)
Lineage: Eukaryota; Metazoa; Chordata; Actinopteri; Cichliformes; Cichlidae
Exons: 4
Source: RefSeq, a predicted model, not a curated record
GCACUUUUAAAAAAUCUCCACUUUUACAUUUCGGGAGAGAGAACAAGUAACUCACCGCUCGCAACACAUCUCAACGAUCCUCGUUCAUUGAUCAAAGAUGCACAAGAAAGUUGCACCAUAUCCAUGGAAAAUCUCUGUGGCGUUCCGCAAGGGGCCACUUGGAUACCUUCUCCAGGACCCGUCAAAAGAAGCUCGACGGAUUAAAAAUGACCCCAAGCUUCAGGACAAGUCUGCACCUGUGAGGGAGGACGUUGUACAUUAGAAUGCUCUGACUGUCGUCUAUCAGAGAGGAGGCGAUGCCUCCAACAUGAAGGAAGUGCUGGGAGAGUACAUCCUGCAGUUUGGAAAAUUUAAAGGGAAAUCUUUCCGGUGGCUUCUGGAGAAUGAUGUCGGGUACACCAUGUACCUGAUCAAAGAGCUCCAGAAGGAAGAGGCUGCAGGGACCUCUGUGGAAGAAAGGCAAGGCAAGGAGAGCUUGCAUUCAUUUGUACAGUAUGCCCUCAGUUUUGCAGAGAUAUAAACUCUUCUGGACUACGAGGUCAGCAGAGUGAGUGUUGCAGCAGAAGCCUCUGAGGAUGAUCAGCUGGUUGGCUUUGGCUCACGAGCCAAGAGCACCUGGAAGGAGAUUUGGGACGGCAGAGGUGACGGCUAUGCAGACUUUAUCAUGAGGAAGAGCUGCAGUCAAGCAACAUGGAUGCAUAAGCUGCAGCAGUACCUGCGGAAGAAGCAGCAGUCUGCAUCUGCUUCCACAAAUGCUCCAACUAAACCCCUGGGGAUGGAUGAGGAUAAAGACCUGGAGGACGCAAUGCUGAGCAUCUCACCUCCAAAACUACACAUGCAGAGCUUCACUGUGCCAGCAGCAGCAGAAGGGUCCACACCCAGAGGAUCUUCAGGAGCAAACAAAGGUUUUCAAAUGAAAUGUUUCAGAACUGGAGUAAAAUAGUUUUACAUGAAUUGCUCUCCAAAGCUGAGCCUGAACUUGAACUUUUAUAUAUUGUCUUGUUCUUGUUUUUGUGUGUUUGGCCACGUUCUGGCGAUGUUCCUCUAAUAGUAUAGUUGUAUGCUGGCUGUAUGGUGGAAGAAAACAGUAA